AUUGAACGCUGGCGGCAGGCCUAACACAUGCAAGUCGCACGAGUGGCGGACGGGUGAGUAAUGUCUGGGAAACUGCCUGAUGGAGGGGGAUAACUACUGGAAACGGUAGCUAAUACCGCAUACCAUCGGAUGUGCCCAGAUGGGAUUAGCGAGUAGGUGGGGUAACGGCUCACCUAGGCGACGAGCCCGAGCUGGGCUGAGCGGAUGAACGGCAAAACUGGAACUGAGACACGGUCCAGAUUCCUACGGGGGGCAGCAGGGGGGAAGAUUGCAAAUGGGGCGAAAGCCUGAUGCAGACAUGCCGCGUGUAUGAAGAGGUGCGUCGGGUUGUAAAGUACUUUCAGCGGGGAGGCGUUACCCGGAGAAGAAGCACCGGCUAACUACGUGCCAGCAGCCGCGGUAAUUC
RNAcentral lists this ribosomal RNA (406 nucleotides) under uncultured bacterium. RNAcentral describes it as "partial 16S ribosomal RNA". It matches the Rfam family "Bacterial small subunit ribosomal RNA", at positions 29 to 526 of the family's 1533-position model. The record is from RNAcentral.